RNAcentral lists this long non-coding RNA (266 nucleotides) under Carica papaya (papaya). RNAcentral's name for it is "long non-coding RNA (CPAP_LNC008661)". The record is from RNAcentral. Lineage: Eukaryota; Viridiplantae; Streptophyta; Magnoliopsida; Brassicales; Caricaceae.
AAAAAUUUUCUGCCAUCCCUUAUUCUUCUCCACAGACUCUUGCCAUGCGGUCUAAACCUCUCUCUUCUUCCCCUCUCUUUCUCCCAAUCCCCUCACCUCGACACAAUCACCCUCCUCCACAACCUGUCCUUCUCGCUAAGAAAUCUUCAUAACCACUUCCCAUGAAGAGCUUUGUUCAUAUCCAUAAUGGAUCUUAAUCCCAAACCUCCCUCCCCCACUCCCUUUUUAACGUCCUCCAAUCUAACAAGAUGAUAUUUUCUGUCUCC